GACGAACGCUGGCGGCGUGCCUAAUACAUGCAAGUCGAACGAAGCUUUCUUUCACCGAAUGCUUGCAUUCACCGAAAGAAGCUUAGUGGCGAACGGGUGAGUAACACGUAGGCAACCUGCCCAAAAGAGGGGGAUAACACUUGGAAACAGGUGCUAAUACCGCAUAACCAUGAACACCGCAGGAUGUUCAUGUAAAAGACGGCUUUUGCUGUCACUUUUGGAUGGGCCUGCGGCGUAUUAACUUGUUGGUGGGGUAACGGCCUACCAAGGUGAUGAUACGUAGCCGAACUGAGAGGUUGAUCGGCCACAUUGGGACUGAGACACGGCCCAAACUCCUACGGGAGGCAGCAGUAGGGAAUCUUCCACAAUGGACGAAAGUCUGAUGGAGCAACGCCGCGUGAAUGAAGAAGGCCUUCGGGUCGUAAAAUUCUGUUGUCAGAGAAGAACGUACGUGAGAGUAACUGUUCACGUAUUGACGGUAUCUGACCAGAAAGCCACGGCUAACUACGUGCCAGCAGCCGCGGUAAUACGCAGGUGGCAAGCGUUGUCCGGAUUUAUUGGGCGUAAAGGGAACGCAGGCGGUCUUUUAAGUCUGAUGUGAAAGCCUUCGGCUUAACCGAAGUAGUGCAUUGGAAACUGGAAGACUUGAGUGCAGAAGAGGAGAGUGGAACUCCAUGUGUAGCGGUGAAAUGCGUAGAUAUAUGGAAGAACACCAGUGGCGAAAGCGGCUCUCUGGUCUGUAACUGACGCUGAGGUUCGAAAGCGUGGGUAGCAAACAGGAUUAGAUACCCUGGUAGUCCACGCCGUAAACGAUGAGUGCUAAGUGUUGGAGGGUUUCCGCCCUUCAGUGCUGCAGCUAACGCAUUAAGCACUCCGCCUGGGGAGUACGGUCGCAAGACUGAAACUCAAAGGAAUUGACGGGGGCCCGCGCAAGCGGUGGAGCAUGUGGUUUAAUUCGAAGCAACGCGAAGAACCUUACCAGGUCUUGACAUCUUCUGACAAUUCCAGAGAUGGAACGUUCCCUUCGGGGACAGAAUGACAGGUGGUGCAUGGUUGUCGUCAGCUCGUGUCGUGAGAUGUUGGGUUAAGUCCCGCAACGAGCGCAACCCUUAUUGUCAGUUGCCAUCAUUAAGUUGGGCACUCUGGCGAGACUGCCGGUGACAAACCGGAGGAAGGUGGGGAUGACGUCAAAUCAUCAUGCCCCUUAUGACCUGGGCUACACACGUGCUACAAUGGACGGUACAACGAGUCGCUAACUCGCGAGGGCAAGCUAAUCUCUUAAAGCCGUUCUCAGUUCGGAUUGCAGGCUGCAACUCGCCUGCAUGAAGUCGGAAUCGCUAGUAAUCGCGAAUCAGCAUGUCGCGGUGAAUACGUUCCCGGGCCUUGUACACACCGCCCGUCACACCAUGAGAGUUUGUAACACCCAAAGUCGGUGGGGUAACCUUUUGGAGCCAGCCGCCUAAGGUGGGACAGAUGAUUGGGGUG
Molecule: ribosomal RNA, 1485 nt
Filed under: Ligilactobacillus ruminis
Lineage: Bacteria; Bacillati; Bacillota; Bacilli; Lactobacillales; Lactobacillaceae
Description: Lactobacillus ruminis partial 16S ribosomal RNA
Rfam family: Bacterial small subunit ribosomal RNA
Source: RNAcentral